CGGAGCAGCGCCGCGUGAGUGAUGAAGGUUUCGGAUCGUAAAGCUCUGUUGUUAGGGAAGAACAAGUGCAAGAGUAACUGCUUGCACCUUGACGGUACCUAACCAGAAAGCCACGGCUAACUACGUGCCAGCAGCCGCGGUAAUACGUAGGUGGCAAGCGUUGUCCGGAAUUAUUGGGCGUAAAGGGCUCGCAGGCGGUUUCUUAAGUCUGAUGUGAAAGCCCCCGGCUCAACCGGGGAGGGUCAUUGGAAACUGGGAAACUUGAGUGCAGAAGAGGAGAGUGGAAUUCCACGUGUAGCGGUGAAAUGCGUAGAGAUGUGGAGGAACACCAGUGGCGAAGGCGACUCUCUGGUCUGUAACUGACGCUGAGGAGCGAAAGCGUGGGGAGCGAACAGGAUUAGAUACCCUGGUAGUCCACGCCGUAAACGAUGAGUGCUAAGUGUUAGGGGGUUUCCGCCCCUUAGUGCUGCAGCUAACGCAUUAAGCACUCCGCCUGGGGAGUACGGUCGCAAGACUGAAACUCAAAGGAAUUGACGGGGGCCCGCACAAGCGGUGGAGCAUGUGGUUUAAUUCGAAGCAACGCGAAGAACCUUACCAGGUCUUGACAUCCUCUGACAACCCUAGAGAUAGGGCUUUCCCUUCGGGGACAGAGUGACAGGUGGUGCAUGGUUGUCGUCAGCUCGUGUCGUGAGAUGUUGGGUUAAGUCCCGCACGAGCGCAACCCUUGAUCUUAGUUGCCAGCAUUCAGUUGGCACUCUAGGUGACUGCCGGUGACAAACCCGGAGGAGGUGGGGAUGACGUCAAAUCAUCUGCCCCUUA
Molecule: ribosomal RNA, 819 nt
Filed under: Bacillus sp. BLDJ 13
Lineage: Bacteria; Bacillati; Bacillota; Bacilli; Caryophanales; Bacillaceae
Description: bacterial SSU rRNA
Rfam family: Bacterial small subunit ribosomal RNA
Source: RNAcentral